This is a non-coding RNA of Camellia sinensis, 6074 nucleotides long. The record is from RefSeq and is a predicted model, not a curated record. Lineage: Eukaryota; Viridiplantae; Streptophyta; Magnoliopsida; Ericales; Theaceae.
AGCAUUAAUGAAAGCAACUGAUAAGAUAAAACUCUCACCGCCGAUGCUCCUCUAUUACCGAUCUACAUCCUCACCCUGCUCAUCUCCGAUAUGUCCCUCCCUCUUCAAUCAUCCCAGUGUUGAUCUACUUCACUUCACCUCAUCCUUUCGAGCCCUAAUCACCGUCCCUUCCUUUGAUUACUUCACUUCACCUCAUCCAUCUCCAAUCUGUCCCUCCCUCUCAAUUGUUCACCUCAUCCAUGUUAGCCUUAAUCAUCCUAGAGAAAAUUUCCAUUUAAAGAGAAAGAAAAAAGGCUAUCUCUCUCUUUCUCCAACUCCAAACCCAUCGCCCCCUCUUUCCUCUCUCUCUCUCCUCUUCUCUCAAAACCCAUUUCAAAUCAUCCACCUUUAUCCUCUCUGAUAGGCCCUUCAAUUUCCCUCAAAACCCCUCUUCGACCCCAAUUUACAACGAUUCCGUUGCGAAGUCGAAACCUGGAAGUGACUCAUCAAAAAGAACACGACAGCCGAUGAGAGCACUCCUGAUUUUGGAAUUGAGGAAAAGGAUGAUGAGGAAGAAUUGGGGGAUUUUGUGAGGGGAGAGUCGGACUACGAUGAUUCCGGGGAUGGAAAGAGGAAGAAGUUUAAGAAAGAUGGUAUUGGUAGUAGUAGGAAGAGGGACAAAUAUUGAGAAACACACACUCACUCUCUGCCUUCGUCGCUCUCUACCCUAGCUACUCCCUCUUCAGCGCCGCUGCCGACUUCGCCCAUUCUCCUCCUUCAACGCUAUCACCGACUUUGUAUCUCCGAGCAAGCGUUAGUGUCGUCGUCGUCGCUUCAAGUAUUCAAGAAUUAGGGACAGACAUUGAGAAACAUCACGAGAAUGGAGCAUGUGGAAACUGUGAUAAUGAGGUAUGACACACAUUUGGGAAAAUAUGGUGGACAACCUCGUUUUGGUGGUCUAAGGUCAACCUUGUGCAUAUCUUCUCAGAUUUGUUGCAAAAUGGGCUACAAACUUUGUGCAACUGGAAGCAUGAGAUUUAAAAACAAUCUACCUUCAAGAGAAAUUGUAGAACAAUUAAUGCCUCUCACUUAUCACAGAUACGCAAUGUUGUCUUCAUGGUAUUUUUUUUCUUGUUGAAAAUUUCUUCAUGGUAGUUCAUUUUUUUUUUCUUUCUACAGCUUUAGAAAUUUAUUGAUGUCAGAUGUCAAAUGACUGUACAUCUUUGAAUGUGUAUUCUUUGUCUACACGUCUCCCUUGCAAUGAUUGCGGCGAGUCCACAGACCUGCUUUACCAAUAUUAGCAAAGGAUGUGGUGAUGUCUGGGAAAGGGAAUUUUUCCUUGGCAUUCCCAAAAUUAAGUAUGAGGUGAGUGGGUAUUUCCAUGAUAUCGUUGUUUAGAUUUUUUUUCAAAAUCUUUGAAAUUAGAACAUUGCAACUGCUUGAAUUUACAUUCAUAUAUUCUUUUGUAUGUUAAAGCCCUUCAAGUAAGAGCCCACUUGCAUUUAUGUGGUAUAAUGCUGAGUAGAGAUUUUUGGGAAAAAAAUGAGUGUGUUUCCUUUUUCCCUCCUCUCACUCUCACCCCUCUCAUAGCUACUCUUGCUUUUCCUCCUUGUUAGGUAUAGAAUCAAAGGUUAUCCAUUAUGCUUUUACCUUUUCCAUCCCUUUUCUUUUUGGGUUUUUCUAGAAAAUUACAGCUUCUAACACUACCCGGUUCUUCAUUUGUAGGUGGUGUUCGUUUCUUGGGAAAAUUCUUGGCUUCUUAUUAUUUAACUUGUUAGCAAGCCACCCUUAGUUCAUUUUGCUCUCUUUUAAUAUUUUUUUUCUUCAUUCUUUUCAUUUGAUUGGGACUGGCAAUGAAGAAUUUCGAUUCUCAAAUUCACAUUAGGGUUUUCUUGCUCGUUGUGUUCAUUGUCGUCGGUCUAUAUAUUUUGUGCAAUAGCCAAGAAGAAGACAUUCUCAUAGCUCCAAUGGAGGAAAAGGAGUAAAAGGCCUUGUAUUAUGCUAUUCAAGGGUUUGUGGGGAAGUGGUGGAAUGGCUCAGAUCUCUAUCUAGACCCUUGUGGUUGGACUCCAAUAUAGGUACUAUUAAUAAUUUCUUGAGGCCACUUUAUAUGGAGAUUUGCCUUAAUUUUGAUAGACCCUAUUAGUGGAUGGUAAGAUUAGUCUCCAAAAUAGUUGGUCUAGUGAGCCAGAUACUGAAUUAUCAAAAUGAAAUAAAAAAAAAUUACUAGCAUAACAAGAAACUUAUCAAUUCAAUAGAACACUACGGAACAAAAAUUUUAUGAGUCUUUUUGGGUGAAAACCAAACCACUUAUCAAGGAAUUCCAAAUGAGCAACUUUAUUUUUAACUUCCAUAACAUUAGAGCUUGUAUUUGAGAUUAGGUGUUGGAAGUGGCUAGAUUGUGUUUUUGUUAUUAUUUAUUAUUAUCCUUUCCAUGCCUUAGUUUUGAUGAGUUCUUGACGGACAUGAAGCAAUUUGCCAUAAUUUUUUUUUUUUGUUUUUUUGUUAUAUAACUUUGAGCUAGAGUGGUGUGUGUAUGCUUCUUUUCAUAGGGGUGUAUGAUCUACUAUAUUUGGUGGACUGUUGAGGAAAGUAAGGCCCUGUUAGUGAGGCUCUGCUAGUGAUAUAGUGGUUGUGCUCUUUUCUUCUUCUUUGAGCUGUUGUUGACUUAAGUGAGAUCAUAGGUGGCUAGAUAUAGCUGUUGUAUUUGCUUGUUGUCCAGCUUAUUCUAGAUGGGUUAAAUCCAGACAUUUUGAUUGGUUGAGUUGAUGCUGUCAUCUUUCUCUUGUUACCUCCAGUUAACCACUGUUCUGUUGUGCUUUUAAGUUGUUGUCAAAGUGCUACUGCUGCUAGUCUCAUGUUGCUGCUGCUGUAACAAUACUAUUGUUGUUGCUUACUUGCUACUCCUCCGCUAUAAGCCAUUGCUGGUGGACUUGAUUCAAAGCUUGUGAUAUGGGAUUUCUCCAAACGACGCCCACAAAAACUUGUUGACUUUGGUACAAGUCUUAAUCAUUUUUUUCUCCUCGUGUGCUCCUUAUUAUUCUUUGUGUGAACUAAUUACAUUUAGGUUUGCUUCCCCUGAGUUAGUGGCCUUCAGAAAAAUUUAGGUUCGAAAUGCUAGCAUGGAUGUGAUCUUUUUGUGCUUCCAGCUUUGGAAAGACAUUGCCCAGUUUUAUGUCAAUUUGUUCUAUUUAAAUUCUUGUCAAUAUUACAAAAUUGUGUUUCUCUAUCCAAAGGAUCUUGAUCAACAGAAUACAUUGGUCAUGAAAGUUUAGUAGAUAGUAUAUUGUUUUUAUCGAAGGCUUGUAGUUGUUAUCUAAAAUCUUUGAAGUCAGAAAUUAAGUUUGUAGUAUAUCAAAAGGAUAUGAAGUGACACAACAAUUAGUUUUUUGGGUGGUGGAUGGCAGUCUAGGAUUUUGUGUAAUGCAUUAUUCAAGAUCACAAUAGUAUAACUUCAUUAAUGAUUAAGUAUUACACCCCAUUCAACACCUUUGAUAGACUUGGCUUGGUGUUUGUUUUAUUUUCUAUGGAAACAAAUAGGGUAUUAAUAUGGUCUUAAUGGUCAGAUAGAUUGAUUCCUUUCAUUCAGGUGUGCCUGACGCUGAUAGCGGAGGUAGUGCAGGACAAUGCUUGAAUCCUGCAUUCGUCCAUGCAAUAGUUGUUCCUGAAGUUGAUAUGGUAGAUAGAUUAGGCAAGGUAUGUGUUGUAGCUAGGGGCGAUGGUGUUGUUGAUGUGAUCGAUAUUGAAUCAAAACUUUAUCCAUAUUUCAAAUGCUAGCUAUAUUGCAGAGAGUUUGGAUAUGAAAUGCUUUAAUUUUCCACAUUUAGAGAGAAAUUAUAAUGUCUUGCAAAUAUGAUUUGGUUGUUUAUUGGAGAUUAAGGAGAUUGUCUAUAAAAUUAAGUGAUAAACUGAAGUUGCGCUAUUGAUUAUGUUGAUUUUCUAGUGAAGAAAGAGGCUAUGAUGAACAACCGUUGACUGUUAAUUUGGACUUGAAGCUUAUAGUAUUCCUGGAGUUCAAAACCUAUACUGUAUUCUUGUUAAUGUUUCAAAAAUGGAUGUUCAAAAACUUUAUUGAUGUUAAUUUAUUCAAUGUUGAUCUCAUGUUCUGUAGUGGUUUUGUCUAAAACAGACAGGGAAUCUGUCGCGCAUUGCCAUUUUUAACAUUAGUUACAUAAGAGGCCUAUUUCCUAAGAAAUAUUUCAAUGAUAAGUCUGUUCCUGCCUUAGGUGAGCUUGUCAGCAUCAGAUUUACUUCAAGUUUUCUAUGAAAUUUAAGUUCUCAUUGGUGAAUAAAUUGAACAAUCAUGAAAUUAUGAACAAAGAUGAAGAUAAAAAAGCUAACACCAACGGAUGCAAAGUCUUGCAGACUGAAUGAUUGGAUGGAGAAAGGUAUGCCCUAUAUUUAAUGAGCUUCUUUUGUACUUCAUCUUGCUAAUUGGUAUUCUCUUAGACUUUCAGUUCCAUAGAUCUUUCUCUUGAAAUCUUUUUUGCAUAGAAUAGCCAAACAAAAUCUGAUACACAUUGAAAAGGCAGAGGAAAUAAAUAAUGCAACUCACAGUCACUAGUAUCUCUAUACAAGCUGCGUACAUUUCUUACUUGUGUGUUUUGUUUGUCUAAUAGUAGUCUAAUGAUAAUAUCAACUUAUACAUGUCCAUGCAGCUAGAAUUAUGUAUUUUUCCAACUGGAAAACUACUGGAAUGGGAAAUGCUAACAAAGAUAAAGCAUCAUCUGAAUUAAUUUGUGUUUUCAUUUUUCAAGUCAGAAAUUGCUUAGAGAGAUGCAAAAUAUGGUCAAAGAAUUCAGGGACUUUGUGCUUCAAGUUUUUUCAUUUUUUUAAUAUAUAUAAUCACAGUUAAUUUUUUUUUUAUUAAUUCCUUUGUAUAUACUUUUGAGCAUUCAACGUGCAUUUAUGAAAUAUAUGAUGUUAUUCCAUUCAAUAUGUGGUUGUGAUUCAAAGGAUAGUAUAUAUAUAGUAUGUAUUAUAUUGAUCUCACAGCUCAAAUUUUCGUUUUGAGCAAAAAGACAAUGUUUCUAACCAGCGGGAACACAUAAUUCCCCUUCUUGCAAAUCAGCAAACUCGGCUUGGGACUCCUGAUGAGCUUGAAUUGGUAUGCCUUAGAUACCACUCUUAAAUUAUUAAAUUAAAUUUCAAUUUGCGUAGUUAUGAUCAUCACUUUUUCCAUUGAAUUUGUAAGUUAAACAUGAUUUAUAGUAUGAUGAUGGAAGGAAGACUUUGGACAUUUAUUCCACUUUUAUUGAGACCUUUUUGUUAUUGAUUUCAUUCUAUUGAAGCUAGAAAUCAUUCUGGGAACUGUGGAGCUGCUAUUAUAUUUAAAGAAUGUACUUGCUGACCGUAUUUCAGAUUUUUUGUAUGCCUCUAUAUUUAAUUUUAUGAUUUUAUUCCUACUUGUGUACCAGGGUGUAGAAAUCUCACAAUUAUUAGGGCCUCAUGCACUAGCUAAUGAUUGGAUUUCCAUAUUAGAGUGGUCAAAUAAGUAACUUUGUUCUCCAUUUUUUAUGUUUCAUUUUUUAUUUUUUUUAUUUUUCAAAAUUUAAUGUGGUGAGGACACCUUUAGUUUUUUCAUAGUACAUGUUUUGUUGGAUUUACUACUUGAAUCUUUAUUUCCUUUUUAUACAAUUGUCCGUAAUCCUUUCUAUGACGCCUUAUGUUUGUUGAGAAUUCAUGACAUUCGCAUUUCUUCACUUGCAUAUUCAACUGCAUUAAUCUUAGAAUUGCAGAUUGUCAUUGGUUAUGUAGCAGUCUAUUUUCACUUGUAGAUUGUCAACUUGUUGCUGUUGCUUGUCUCUUUUUAGCUGCCAAAGUUGAGGAGACCCAAGUGUCCCUUCUCUUAGACUUCCAAGUGGAAGAAUCAAAGUUUGUGAUUAAAGCCAAGACAAUCCAGAGAAUGGAGCUUCUUGGCCCUGGGUGUUGGAAAGUAUGGGUUAAACAUGUCAGAUUCAAUGUACCUUCUGUUUAGAAACUUAUAUAUGACCUAGUUUUUAGACAGUUUAAAACUUUUUGGACAAUUAAAAUUUAAGGAUAAUUCUUUUUGGAUGGUUUUGAAUUAAGGUUAGUUUUUGAAUGUUUGGAAUGUA